GUUCUGGAUUCCCGUAGUAACUUAAAGGGAAACUUUCACGAUGUCCGGAGCCCUUGAUGUCCUGCAAAUGAAGGAGGAGGAUGUCCUCAAAUUCCCUGCUGCAGGAACCCACCUUGACCUCCAAAUGGAACAGUACAUCUACAAAAGGAAAACUGAUGGCAUCUACAUCAUAAAUCUGAAGAGGACCUGGGAGAAGCUUCUGUUGGCAGCUCGUGCCAUUGUUGCCAUUGAAAACCCUGCUGAUGUCAGUGUCAUAUCCUCCAGGAAUACUGGCCAGCGAGCUGUGCUGAAGUUUGCUGCUGCCACUGGAGCCACUCCUAUUGCUGGCCGCUUCACUCCUGGAACCUUCACUAACCAGAUCCAGGCAGCGUUCCGGGAGCCGCAUCUUCUGGUGGUUACUGACCCCAGGGCUGACCAACAGCCUCUCACAGAGGCGUCUGAUGUUAACCUGCCUACCAUUGCUCUGUGGAACACAGAUUCUCCUCUGUGUUCCGUGGACAUUGCCAUCGCACGCAACAACAACGGGGCUCACUCUGUUGGUCUGAUGUGGUGGAUGCUGGCCCGGGAAGUUCUCCGCAUGCGUGGCACCAUCUCCCGUGAACACCCGUGGGAGGUCAUGCCUGAUCUCUACUUCUACAGAGAUCCUGAAAAGAUUGAAAAGGAAGAGCAAGCUGCCGCCGAGAAAGCUGUGACCAAAGAGGAGUUUCGGGGUGAAUGGACAGCUCCAGCUCCUGAGUUUACUGUUACUCAGCCCGAGGCUGCAGACUGGUCUGAAGGCAUGCAGCUGCCCUCUGUGCAGUUCCCCACUGAAGACUGGAGCGCCCAGCCUGCCACGGAAGACUGGUCUGCAGCUCCCACUGCUCAGGCCACUGAAUGGGUGGGAACAACCACUGAGUGGUCUUAAAAGUUCUUCUACAAACUCUUAAAAAUGGAAAUAAGGUUGAUGGAAAAUAAACAUGAGUUUCUUAAAAAAAAACAAAAAAACAGGUACUAUAAAAAACUUCCAUGAUUCUAUUUAUGUGUACAUUAGAAGAAAUUUCCAGCUAUUACUGUAAAUCCUCAAUGUAUUGUUUCAGCAGUACUAAUUU
Microcebus murinus (gray mouse lemur) is the source of this 1088-nucleotide non-coding RNA. The record is from RefSeq and is a predicted model, not a curated record. NCBI's taxonomy places the organism in Eukaryota, Metazoa, Chordata, Mammalia, Primates, Cheirogaleidae.